UGGGGAAUAUUGGACAAUGGGCGAAAGCCUGAUCCAGCGACGCCGCGUGGGUGAAGAAGGCCUGCGGGUUGUAAAGCCCUUUCGGUGGGGAAGAAAAGCCUCGAGUUAAUACCUCGGGGUCUUGACGUAACCCAUAGAAGAAGCACCGGCUAACUCUGUGCCAGCAGCCGCGGUAAUACAGAGGGUGCGAGCGUUAAUCGGAAUUACUGGGCGUAAAGCGCGCGUAGGCGGCUUUGCAAGUCGGGUGUGAAAUCCCCAGGCUUAACCUGGGAACUGCAUUCGAGACUGCAUUGCUAGAGUAUGGGAGAGGGAAGUGGAAUUUCCGGUGUAGCGGUGAAAUGCGUAGAUAUCGGAAGGAACAUCAGUGGCGAAAGCGACUUCCUGGACCAAUACUGACGCUCAUGUGCGAAAGCGUGGGGAGCAAACAGGAUUAGAUACCCUGGUAGUCCACGCCAUAAACGAUGAGAACUGGAUGUCGGGAGGGUCUGCCUC
This 492-nucleotide ribosomal RNA is filed under the name uncultured Pseudomonadota bacterium. RNAcentral describes it as "bacterial SSU rRNA". It matches the Rfam family "Bacterial small subunit ribosomal RNA", at positions 355 to 839 of the family's 1533-position model. Lineage: Bacteria; Pseudomonadati; Pseudomonadota. The record is from RNAcentral.